This 253-nucleotide ribosomal RNA is filed under the name uncultured bacterium. RNAcentral describes it as "partial 16S ribosomal RNA". It matches the Rfam family "Bacterial small subunit ribosomal RNA", at positions 524 to 776 of the family's 1533-position model. The record is from RNAcentral.
UACAGGGGGGGCAAGCGUUGUUCGGAAUUACUGGGCGUAAAGGGUCAGUAGGCGGCCAACUAAGUCCGACGUGAAAUCCCAAAGCUUAACUUUGGAACUGCGUCGGAUACUGGAUGGCUUGAAUUCGGGAGAGGGAUGCAGAAUUCCAGGUGUAGCGGUGAAAUGCGUAGAUAUCUGGAGGAAUACCGGUGGCGAAGGCGGCAUCCUGGACCGAGAUUGACGCUGAACGACGAAAGCUAGGGGAGCAAACGGG